CUCCGCCCCGCCCAAGGCCCCGCCCACCGCGCUGACGCCUGCCCCACUGCGGCCGCCUGCGAGGUAAGCACGCGCUUCUCGGCCUCUAAACUUCCAAACAGGCCCCUCCACACAGCCCCUCAGGGUGCUGAAGGAGUUACCGUAAUCAGACUCGUUAUCAGAAACAUUUUUUUUAAAAGCUCAUGAACGCUCCAAGGCCUCACCCACAGUUAAUCCAACUUUAAUGGCCUUAUCUUACCAGCUCCGGCCUGGCCUCCGAGUCCAGCCUCCAUCAUUUCCGGGGGAGGGCGGGACUUCCUGUCUGGGGAGGAGCCAAUUGGGAACGGGUUCUGCUGCCUGUGGACCCGAUUGGCUGAAUGCUUUUCAAAGUCCCAGAGAAAGCACAAUGUUUGAGUCCAAAUUGUUCAUAGAGAUCUGAAGGAGAAAAUUUGCCCUUGGUUACCAGGAGAAGACAUCAAUUACGGAACUGAAGAGUCGGUCGGUAUGGGGUAGGAAGCAAAUAAGAGGAGCUCUGUAGACACUUUGAUUACCCGUUUCCCCUUGUAAGUCGAGUGCCAUUCAUUUAGGCAUUCUUGUGCAGAAAAAGCUGUCAGGCUAAGUCCUGCAAGGGAGAUGUGGAGACAAAAAUAUCAGCAUGCACAUUAAAUAUUGAAUGGAAGUCAAAUACUGGUCAUGAAGAUUGCUAAGCAAGACUAAGGAACAAAAUUCUAAAGCCACAGGUAGAGAUAAGUCCCACACUUUUCAUAUGAGAUUUAGCAGUGUGCGGAAUUUUUUUUUAAGUGUUAGGGAAUAAUCCAUUUCAUUAGAGUGUUUGCAGCAGAUACAUGAAUGGCAUAAAUCACAUAUUACAAUUUGCCAUGGAAAUCUUACUGUCCCAAUUAAUUGUCUGUUUAGUUAGUGCAUUCUGCAGUGAGCCAUCCUUCUAAGGCCUGGUGGUAUUUCAUGGUACGUCAGUCAAUAACCUGCAUCCCCAGCCUAAUUGCCAAGGAGCUAUAUCCUGACUCUUAGACAGAGGUUGGCCUUGGGAAGGAUAAAGUUAUGUUUGUUAAAUGCAAGCCUCAUGAUCUCUGGAAGGCGUUAGCAAUAAUCUUCCUGCCCAUUGCACAAAUUUCUCCCUGUAAAUGCCAGUGAUCAUGGUGUAGACGAGCAUGUGCUCCAAUCCCAUGAUUUUACUUGAAAACUAAACUUCCUGUCAGCUUCUAAAGCCUUGCUCUCUCUUUUAAUGUUAGCAUUUUGUGAAAGUAAAUGGAAUUAGAAGUAAAUCCAUUUAAUCACACAUGAAGCACAAUUUUUCCUGAGAACUUCAGAUAUUUUCAUAUGAACAAUGGAAAAAUGAACAUGUCAUUUGCCAUCAUGUCAUUGGAAAAUUCUAAAAAAAUAUUUAAUUCUAGUUCCAAACACUUGUCUAUCUUAUUUAGAAAUAAUGUUUUAUUGGGUUUUUUUUAGUACUGUAUUUCACCUGUAUCUUUGCAAUAUAACUUUUUGAUUUUUUAAGAUUGAAAUAUAGUUGACAUACAAUAUUAGUUUCAGGUGUACAACAUAGUGAUUUGAAAUUUAUAUACAAUACGAAAUGAUCACCAUGAUUAGUCUAGUAACCAUCUGUCACCUUAUAAAAUCAUUACAAUGUUAUGACUAUAUUCCCUAUGCUGUACUUUGUAUCCCUGUGACUUAUUUGAAAUAAAUCUUUUUUUAGAUUACUUAGCUUUGAGUCU
This is a long non-coding RNA of Vulpes vulpes (red fox), 1712 nucleotides long. The record is from Ensembl. NCBI's taxonomy places the organism in Eukaryota, Metazoa, Chordata, Mammalia, Carnivora, Canidae.